Pundamilia nyererei is the source of this 480-nucleotide long non-coding RNA. RefSeq lists it as uncharacterized. Lineage: Eukaryota; Metazoa; Chordata; Actinopteri; Cichliformes; Cichlidae. The transcript has 3 exons. The record is from RefSeq and is a predicted model, not a curated record.
UCCUCGUCUUCAGGAGUUUGCUUGCCCAACAAUAUUCUCUCAGCUGUACCAGUGUAUGAUGCCCCUUUACGUACACCCAGGGCAAAGUUUGUGAGCUAUGAAGCUGAGCUGCGAUGCUCUCCAGGUCUGGCAACCUGCCCCUCCUGCAGGACUCGGGUCACCACAGAGGUCACCUUUAAAGCCGGGACUUUUGCGUGGCUCGUGUGUCUUGUGUUUGUGUUAUGCGGGUUGGUGCUCGGCUGCUGCCUGAUUCCAUUUUUUGUAAACCACUUUAAGGACGCCUACCACAGUUGUCCACGCUGUCGACGGGUUCUUCACGUGCACAAGAAGCGGUGCUGCGAGUGAACACACAAUUGCUGGAGUCAAAUGCACGUUUAGACAUAAGAGCACACGAGUUCCUGUUGUGUAAAAUUCGAUAUUUUAAACGUUUUAAUCAAAUUGUGUAAGAAUCCUAUUAAAUAAAUGUGUUCUGUGCCAAUC